This 490-nucleotide ribosomal RNA is filed under the name uncultured bacterium. RNAcentral's name for it is "partial 16S ribosomal RNA". It matches the Rfam family "Bacterial small subunit ribosomal RNA", at positions 30 to 507 of the family's 1533-position model. The record is from RNAcentral.
AUUGAACGCUGGCGGCAGGCCUAACACAUGCAAGUCGAACGGUAACAGGAAGAAGCUUGCUUCUUUGCUGACGAGUGGCGGACGGGUGAGUAAUGUCUGGGAAACUGCCUGAUGGAGGGGGAUAACUACUGGAAACGGUAGCUAAUACCGCAUAACGUCGCAAGACCAAAGAGGGGGACCUUCGGGCCUCUUGCCAUCGGAUGUGCCCAGAUGGGAUUAGCUAGUAGGUGGGGUAACGGCUCACCUAGGCGACGAUCCCUAGCUGGUCUGAGAGGACGACCAGCCACACUGGAACUGAGACACGGUCCAGACUCCUACGGGAGGCAGCAGUGGGGAAUAUUGCACAAUGGGCGCAAGCCUGAUGCAGCCAUGCCGCGUGUAUGAAGAAGGCCUUCGGGUUGUAAAGUACUUUCAGCGGGGAGGAAGGGAGUAAAGUUAAUACCUUUACUCAUUGACGUUACCCGCAGAAGAAGCACCGGCUAACUCCGUG